CAAGACAGGGUGAUAAGACUUAGUCUUUAAAUAGACAAACAACACUUCUUCAAUUUCAUCAAGAUAACACUCCACGGCCUUUAUCCAAAUUCCCACUUCAGCAGCAAAUUAAGCCACAACCAGAGAUUCUGAUAUGAAUUUGCUGCAAAAGAAUUGAACCUGUAAUUGAAGAAAAAGAGGAGAAAUUAUCACUUUUUCAAUUGAAUUUGAGGGAAGAGAAUCAAAAGCAUCUUACAAUUUGGACGGAGGAGAGAAGAAGCAAUGGAAUUGGGGCAGUGUUCGAUCCCCAACCUCAUCUUCAACACCCACAGCCACCGCCUCCAACCUAACCCACCACCCCCAACCUCACCCAUAAUCUGAUCCCCAGGAUGCAAAAGACCAG
RNAcentral lists this long non-coding RNA (382 nucleotides) under Lotus japonicus. RNAcentral describes it as "long non-coding RNA (LJAP_LNC001799)". The record is from RNAcentral. Lineage: Eukaryota; Viridiplantae; Streptophyta; Magnoliopsida; Fabales; Fabaceae.